RNAcentral lists this ribosomal RNA (261 nucleotides) under uncultured prokaryote. RNAcentral's name for it is "partial 16S ribosomal RNA". It matches the Rfam family "Bacterial small subunit ribosomal RNA", at positions 524 to 784 of the family's 1533-position model. The record is from RNAcentral.
UACGUAGGUGGCGAGCGUUAUCCGGAAUUAUUGGGCGUAAAGAGCGCGCAGGUGGUUGAUUAAGUCUGAUGUGAAAGCCCACGGCUUAACCGUGGAGGGUCAUUUGAAACUGGUCGACUUGAGUGCAGAAGAGGGAAGUGGAAUUCCAUGUGUAGCGGUGAAAUGCGUAGAUAUUAGGAGGAACACCAGUUGCGAAGGCGGCUCUCUGGACUGUAACUGACACUGAGGCACGAAAGCGUGGGGAGCAAACAGGAUUAGAUA